Grus americana (Whooping crane) is the source of this 554-nucleotide long non-coding RNA. RefSeq lists it as uncharacterized. The record is from RefSeq and is a predicted model, not a curated record. The transcript is spliced from 3 exons. Lineage: Eukaryota; Metazoa; Chordata; Aves; Gruiformes; Gruidae.
GUUUUGCUUUCUCCCUUGAGAGCAAGGAUACAUCUUUCCAUGCCCCACUAUAUGUCCUGAAAUUGUACUCUGUCUUCUUGGAUCUGGAACUGGAUGUCGUGCUAGGGCUGCUAUGGAAGACAAUAACCCAACCAACAGGAAGCCCUGAAGAGGUUGCUUGUUGUUUGGUUGAAAAGGGAUCCCUUGGGAUUAAAAGGGAUAACAGAAAGUGAAUAAUGGAGAAUAAGAAAGUGGAAAGGCACACCAGCUCAUUCUUAUCCAAUAAAAUAAAGACAACGUGAAGAUUGAAUUCAUAGAUUAAGUGAUUGCAUAGAAGAAAGUGAAUUGUAAUCUUCAUUUUUAAUUCUGGUCUAGGAAAGUGGAAAUUUUUAUGAUAAUAUAUCAUCGAAAUACUAAAAGGGCAACACCAGAAGCUUGGGAGACUAUUGAGAAGAACACUUAUGAAUCAUAAAAUGUAGCAGGUGUCUUUUUUUGUCUUUCUUUUUUUUUUUUUCUUUGUUCCUAAUCUGUACAAAAGUGUUUGCAAUCUAUUAGAAAACAGAAGUCCAGGAAUC